RNAcentral lists this ribosomal RNA (864 nucleotides) under Triticum aestivum (bread wheat). Its description in RNAcentral is "partial small subunit ribosomal RNA". The record is from RNAcentral. Lineage: Eukaryota; Viridiplantae; Streptophyta; Magnoliopsida; Poales; Poaceae.
AUGCAAAACGGACAACGGGGAAAAUGCUCGGAUGCAAACUUGCAACCGCCGGUGCAAGUCGGCGAUGAAGGGAAAACUGGGCAGCCAAAGACAACUGAUGAACCUUUAGGAGAUUCUUGUUCAUUUUUAGUAGCAGAUGAUGAUAGUAAAAAGGUCUCCCAUGAAGACAUUGAACUAUUAAGAUCCAAAGAUGUCCAGAAUUUAAUAGAACGAUGCCUACAGUUUUAUAUGAAUAGAGGAGAAGUUGUUAGGACUCUUUCUACUCGAGCAAGGAUAGAAACUGGUUUUACUACAUUAGUUAACAAUUUGCCUAUAGGAUAUCCAGUACUUCAGAAACCUGGAAUACCUGCUGCUGGUCAGCCUCAUGUUAAUGCAAUGGCUUGUGGUCCACCAGGCUACCAUAUAGCAAAUGGAAUGCCCUAUCACCCGAUUCGUAUGAGCUCAGCAAAUGGCAUAAUGGACAAUGAAUUACCUGAAGCUGCACAUGCUGCAACAGUCUUUGGUACUGUGUCAUCUGAGAUUGCUAUGAGUUCAUCAUCCGGAAUGUCGAGCAACCAUCUCACUUUCACUCCAUCUGAGUUAUCAGAGAUGGAUGUGGAUGCAGCAGCAGUAGAUACCGCCAUUGGAGCUGAUGUGGCAAAUGGAGGGCCUCUGGAAAUAGGACUAGAUAGCGAUUUCAGCCUUUCUGAUUUAUCUGCAGAUUUGACAAAUUUGGGAGACCUGGCAGCUCUUGAGAACUAUGCAGGCAACCCAUUCAUGCCUUCGGAUUCUGAUAUCUUACUUGAUUCCACGGAGCAUGAUGACAUAGUUGAGUACUUUGUCGACGCGGUUGAUGGACCUUCUCAAUCAGAUGAAGAGAAAUAA